GAUGAACGCUAGCGGCAGGCCUAACACAUGCAAGUCGAGGGGUAGAACACUUCGGUGUUUGAGACCGGCGCACGGGUGCGUAACGCGUAUGCAAUCUGCCUUGUACAGGGGAAUAGCCCAGAGAAAUUUGGAUUAAUGCCCCAUAGUAUAUAACCUUCGCAUGUUGGUUAUAUUAAAGUUCCAACGGUACAAGAUGAGCAUGCGUCCCAUUAGUUAGUUGGUAAGGUAACGGCUUACCAAGACGAUGAUGGGUAGGGGUCCUGAGAGGGAGAUCCCCCACACUGGUACUGAGACACGGACCAGACUCCUACGGGAGGCAGCAGUGAGGAAUAUUGGUCAAUGGGCGCAAGCCUGAACCAGCCAUGCCGCGUGCAGGAAGACGGUCCUAUGGAUUGUAAACUGCUUUUAUACAGGAAGAAACAACUCUACGUGUAGAGUCUUGACGGUACUGUAGGAAUAAGGAUCGGCUAACUCCGUGCCAGCCGCCGCCGUAA
RNAcentral lists this ribosomal RNA (494 nucleotides) under uncultured bacterium. RNAcentral describes it as "partial 16S ribosomal RNA". It matches the Rfam family "Bacterial small subunit ribosomal RNA", at positions 28 to 523 of the family's 1533-position model. The record is from RNAcentral.